GACGAACGCUGGCGGCGUGCUUAACACAUGCAAGUCGAACGGAAAGGCCCUGCUUUUGUGGGGUGCUCGAGUGGCGAACGGGUGAGUAACACGUGAGUAACCUGCCCUUGACUUUGGGAUAACUUCAGGAAACUGGGGCUAAUACCGGAUAUGAGCUCCUGCUGCCUGGUGGGGGUUGGAAAGUUUCGGCGGUUGGGGAUGGACUCGCGGCUUAUCAGCUUGUUGGUGGGGUAGUGGCUUACCAAGGCUUUGACGGGUAGCCGGCCUGAGAGGGUGACCGGCCACAUUGGGACUGGGAUACGGCCCAGACUCCUACGGGAGGCAGCAGUGGGGAAUAUUGCACAAUGGGCGGAAGCCGGAUGCAGCAACGCCGCGUGCGGGAUGACGGCCUUCGGGUUGGAAACCGCUUUCGCCUGUGACGAAGCGUGAGUGACGGUAAUGGGUAAAGAAGCACCGGCUAACUACGUG
This 468-nucleotide ribosomal RNA is filed under the name uncultured bacterium. RNAcentral's name for it is "partial 16S ribosomal RNA". It matches the Rfam family "Bacterial small subunit ribosomal RNA", at positions 28 to 507 of the family's 1533-position model. The record is from RNAcentral.